This 404-nucleotide ribosomal RNA is filed under the name Actinomycetes bacterium. RNAcentral describes it as "Actinobacteria bacterium partial 16S ribosomal RNA". It matches the Rfam family "Bacterial small subunit ribosomal RNA", at positions 355 to 776 of the family's 1533-position model. The record is from RNAcentral. Lineage: Bacteria; Bacillati; Actinomycetota; Actinomycetes.
UGGGGAAUAUUGGACAAUGGGCGCAAGCCUGAUCCAGCCAUGCCGCGUGAGUGAUGAAGGCCCUAGGGUUGUAAAGCUCUUUCACCGGUGAAGAUAAUGACGGUAACCGGAGAAGAAGCCCCGGCUAACUUCGUGCCAGCAGCCGCGGUAAUACGAAGGGGGCUAGCGUUGUUCGGAUUUACUGGGCGUAAAGCGCACGUAGGCGGAAUUUUAAGUCAGGGGUGAAAUCCCGGGGCUCAACCCCGGAACUGCCUUUGAUACUGGAAGUCUUGAGUAUGGUAGAGGUGAGUGGAAUUCCGAGUGUAGAGGUGAAAUUCGUAGAUAUUCGGAGUAACACCAGUGGCGAAGGCGGCUCACUGGACCAUUACUGACGCUGAGGUGCGAAAGCGUGGGGAGCAAACAGG